UUAAAUACACACACUCCCUCUUUACCCAUUUAUUAAGUAAUAAUGGAACACUUUUGUCAAAGCUUAGGCACCAAAUUUCUGACACCAGAUGAGCUCUAAAGCUAAUCAGGGGCUGGAAAAAUGGGAAUAUAAUUAAGGCUGCUGACAGCCCCGUGUCAUUAACCUCACAGCUCUCAGGUGCCACACUGAACCACAGCUGCAAAAAAUACUGUAUUACGGGCAGUUGGUUUCAGCUGUGGAAAUGAAUUUGGCUUUUAAUGGCUCUGUAAUGUCUCUAGGGCUGAGGUGGUGGCAGGGGGAGGGUGGUGUUCUGUGCUGGGUCAGCUUGUCUGGAGCCUGUGCUGCUCAGUGCCUUCUCAGUUUCUCGGGUGCAAAACUCAAGCUUUGGACAGCAGCAGAGGCAGGCAAUGAUGUCCUCGCUCUGUCUGCUUUGGAAGUCCUGGAGUGCGUUGGUGCGACCACAGCCACAGGAGCGGGGCAGUUUGGGAUAAAUCAAAAACAAAAGUGCCGUUAUCCAUAUGGGACCUCACGAGUGCAUUGCAUACCCCAGCAAUUCCGAGCACUCUGUGUACGGUUCUCGUUUGGUUUUAACUCAAUUUCUUUGAGAUGCAAAUCAGAGGGAUUAUAUUCAGAGGCUGCAUCAGAAAGUCUUUAAUCCAAAUGGGCUAUAAGAUUUAUUUAGAAGAGCCAAAUGUCUUGUCUGGGACAGAAGCAACCGAGCUGAACUGAAACAGAUGGACAUAAAGGAAAUUAAGCAACUCUAAUGGUCUUAUCCAGAGUUUCAAAGUAUUUGGUCUUCGGAAAGCUCCAGCUCCUGGAAACACGUGAUGAGAUGGGGAGCUCAAGUUUCAUUUAAAAACAGGCUUUGCAGUUCACUGAGAAAGACAAUAAUAAUGUUUUCAUUCCUCCUGUGUACAGAGGGAAGGCUGCCUUCCAAAGCCCAGCUCCUCAGCUCGGCUCAUGACAUCAGAUGGAAGCGUAUUGCACAACACUUGAAUUCCUUGUCUUCAUCACAGUAUGGUUCUUUCAGCGGGCUGGAUUUGGGAUUUUGGAAGGCUGAUGCUUCCCUGGGUUCUUGGGGUGCCAGGAGGCAGCUCCCCCUCAUCUCUGCAAGGGGAAACCAUCUGCAGCCUGGGCAUCGAGGGGCAGCAGCCCUCCUGCUGGCAGCUGCACCGUGCCCUGCUUGGCUCAGUGCUGAGUACCCAGAGCAGAGAAGCUCCACGUGUCUGCGCCUUUGCCAUCCUUCACCCCCGUGCUUUUGGAUUUGGAUUAAAUAAAAGGGGAUGCGUGGUGGCUGGGGCAUUGGCAUCAACCUAUGGAGCAACCCUUGUGGUGUGGGGCUUGGGAAGGAGGCCACCACCUCCUUCAACUCCUCCCACUGGUUUGAACUGGGGAAGGCUCAGCUCGUGCUCGGUGUCCCAGCCCCUGGGUGACCAUCCUCAGACCCAAUGCUGUCACCAGGAGCGGAGCAUCGCCCUUCACGCACCAUUAUUCCUCACCCCCAGAGCCUUUUCAUCUCUUAUCGGCGGUAACCCCCGGGCUCUCUUAUCUCCCCCCUGCCAUCCAGCGAGGCCAUAGAGCUGUCAGCGUGGGGAAUGACCUUCACCUCCUCGCUCACCUCCAGGAGAUGCUGUGUCCGCUCGGCCGGGCGCGUGGUUGGCUGCAGCAGCACUGCCUGCUGCCCGGAGCCAGGUAAUUACAGCACCCGUUACGGUUCAGCAGGCACCUUCAUUAAUAAACCUCAAGUUUCCGAGGUGCCUAACUCGGCCAUUGGAAACCACAUCUGGCUGUAACUCUGCGGCGUGUCUAAGCUUUCAGCUCAUCCCUGACUGCCUAAGCGGUUUACAGGACGGGCUGUAAACAAUGUCUGUUUUGUUGGGGUUUUGCGUGCUUUGAGGAAAAGAAAGCAAACACUCGUCCUCUGGGCUCAUCUCCUCAGUGCAGGGCUGAAGGCUGACAGCUCUUUCUCACGUUAUCCCAGUGGGAUUUUUGCUUCUGAAAUAGCCCAAAUAACGAACAUAUGGAGUCCUCCCAUGCACGCGCAGCUCUGGUGCUUGGCGCUGGGCAGGGUCCUUGCUCCCAAGUGGCAGCUGCAUGCAAGGUGGAGGGUGGAGGAUAACUUUCAGAACCACUGGCCAGUCCCAGUCUUCUUAGCGUAGAGCCUCUAUAAAUAUUAUUUUCUGAUAUUUGCAUAUAUCCCAACAGGAGGGCCCUUGUUGGGAUUGGCUCAAUGUAGUUGCUGCUGCCCAGUAGCUCCUUCCUUGUGCUUUGGUGAAUAAAUUACCCUACAGACUCCAUCACCUCUUAGGGCUUGAGCGCUUCCCCUGGCACAAGCCCGGCUUGCAGGAGGAGCAGCUACUGAUGGGAAGGAUGGAGUUAAAUUCCAUAGAGAUGUAAGGAGAGGAGAUGGGGUAAGGAGAUGAGUUGGGCAUCAAAGGGAGUGGGUAGGCAACUUGCAGCCAUAACCAGCCCCACCCAACAGCCAAACACCCCCACUAGUAACCCACCAGAGCUCAAAGGCAAGCGAGUGCACGUCUGUGUGGAGGAGCUCCAGGUUGUGCAGCUGGGAGGGAGGAAUGGGGGGUUGGGGGGCCAGAAUGUUGGGCUGAGCUGUGUCCCCGGCUCAGAGCCCUCCCCUGGCUGUGGGAUGGAGGCUUGUGGUAUUUGGGAAGCGUGAUCCUGGUGCUUGGGACAUCCAGGCUGCUGGGUACCAUCAUGCUGAAGGGAAAGAUGCCCGUACCUUGGCACCGGUGUGCCAGCAGCCCUUCUUCCUAGAGCCGGGCACUGGGGAUGCAAUGGGCUUGCACACCUUUGGGGCCAGUGCUCACCGUGACGUUGAGCAUCGGCUACCAACCUGAAAGUGAGCAGAGCUCUGUAGGAAAGCCAGAAAUUUCUGCUCUGCAUCCCCAUCACGGAGCAGGCGAGGGCCACC
Long non-coding RNA from Numida meleagris (helmeted guineafowl), 2932 nucleotides. RefSeq lists it as uncharacterized. The record is from RefSeq and is a predicted model, not a curated record. Lineage: Eukaryota; Metazoa; Chordata; Aves; Galliformes; Numididae. The transcript is spliced from 3 exons.